GACGAACGCUGGCGGCGUGCUUAACACAUGCAAGUCGAACGGAAAGGCCCUGCGUUUGUUGGGUGCUCGAGUGGCGAACGGGUGAGUAACACGUGAGUAACCUGCCCUUGACUUUGGGAUAACUUCAGGAAACUGGGGCUCAUACCGGAUAGGAGCUCCUGCUGCACGGUGGGCGUUGGAAAGUUUCGGCGGUUGUGGAUGGACUCGCGGCUUAUCCGCUUGUUGGUCGGGUAGUGGCUUACCAAGGCUGUGACGGGUAGCCGGCCUGGGAGGGUGACCGGCCACAUUGCGCCUGCGAUACGGCCCAGAAGGCUACGGGAGGCAGCGGUGGAGAGUAUUACACAGUGGGCGGAAGCGUGAGGCAGCAACGCCGCGUGCGGGAUGACGGCCUACGGGUUGUGAACCGCUGUGGCCUGUGACGAAGCGUGAGUGACGGUAAUGGGUAAAGAAGCACCGGCUAACUACGUG
This 468-nucleotide ribosomal RNA is filed under the name uncultured bacterium. RNAcentral's name for it is "partial 16S ribosomal RNA". It matches the Rfam family "Bacterial small subunit ribosomal RNA", at positions 28 to 507 of the family's 1533-position model. The record is from RNAcentral.